AUGGCGGACGGCGACCAGAACCAGCAGCCACCGCGCUACUGGUUCCCCUACUGGAGCGGGCCGCCGCCCCCGGUGCGCCCGCAGAUGUCGCGCCGCCUCUCCCCGCCCGCAGCGCCGUCCUCGCCAGCACUGCCGUCCUCGCCGCGCCGCCCUUCGCCCUCCCACCCCCGCCAACCCACUCCUCCUCGUGCGGCUCAGAGCCAGGCGUCCUCCCGCCCGUCCCCGUCCCGGGCCUCGCCGCUCGCGCCCAUCCGAGAGCCGCCCAGCAGCAACUCCAACGCCGGUGCUACUGCCAGGCCGCCUCCAAAGCCCAAGCACAAGGACGUGGACGUCGUCCCGCAGCCGGAGAAAGCCGCCGUGCACCCGACUGCCGCGGCGGCUGAGACCAAGCACGGCAAGGCCGCCCAACACCACCACAAGGAGAAGGAGGCCGACAAGGAGAAGGAGGACGAGCACAAGAGCAAGGACAAGAAGAACCACGCCGGUGAGGACAGCAAGCACAAGGAUAAAGAGAAGAAGCACCAUGCCGACGCCGGCGAUGAGGACAGCAAGCACAAGGAGAAGGAGAAGGAGAAAGACAAGGAGAAGAAGCACCAUGCCGACGGCGGCGAGGAGGGCAAGCACAAGGGGAAGGAGCACGGGAAGCUGCACGGCGAGCUCAAGGCCGACAUGGUGCGCAGGGCCACCGGCUCCGGGCACGGGCACCCGGGGGCGAGCGCGAUCACGCUGGCGGGGGAGAACAAGGGCGCGUCCAUGAAGGUGGGCGGCAAGAGCAAGGACGGCUCAUGGAAGGAGCACCAGGGCGGGCACCGGCUGGACGGGAAGCCGGUGGACGGCGAGAAGAAGCAGGGGAUGAUGAGGGCGCUGAUCAACAGCAACGUGCAGGUGAUCAACAACUCGCUGCUGCUGCACAGCUCCUGCAGCGGCGGCGACCCAGGCGUGCACCUCAACCUCUCCGCCAAGUCCUCCGCCAGGAAAGACAAGCAGAAGCACGCCGCCGGAGCCGACAAGAGCGACAAAGCUGCUGCUGCAAAGAAAUGA
This 1041-nucleotide ribosomal RNA is filed under the name Triticum aestivum (bread wheat). Its description in RNAcentral is "partial small subunit ribosomal RNA". Lineage: Eukaryota; Viridiplantae; Streptophyta; Magnoliopsida; Poales; Poaceae. The record is from RNAcentral.